Maniola jurtina (meadow brown) is the source of this 502-nucleotide long non-coding RNA. RefSeq lists it as uncharacterized. The transcript is spliced from 3 exons. NCBI's taxonomy places the organism in Eukaryota, Metazoa, Arthropoda, Insecta, Lepidoptera, Nymphalidae. The record is from RefSeq and is a predicted model, not a curated record.
GAAAAUUAUGAAAUAGAUCACCAAUGUGUCGAAAACUUCUUAGAUUAUUUUGGAAAUACGAAACAGUGGCAUAUUAUAUCGAUUACAUAUUUUUUUUCACUAUAGGCAAACGCUUGACCAUAAUCACACCUGAUGGAAAGUGAUGAUGUGACCUAAGAUGGGUCGCGUUUACCUAGAUGCUUAUUCAUUCUUGUUUUAAAGAUACUCGGAUGUAAUUGAAAGGAAACACAGAUCGAAGAGUAUUACAAACCUUAGCCAUGUGUAUGAGGAAUGAUAACGCGAAACGUUUCAUCCGUGUAGAUGGAAUGUCGACGACAUAAGGAUGGACACUCGCCCGACGACGUCUUGCGGUUCGGUGGUAGAAUGGUAAAGGGGGGACACGAUCGGAAAGUUCCUGUGGACACUCCGAAAUAUAUCCUAUAAAAAACCCGAUAAGCCGGCAACCUUACGGCGGUGAUCGAGACUUUGAUGUUUCGCCAGCAAAGGAAACUAUCACUAACAU